Molecule: ribosomal RNA, 459 nt
Filed under: uncultured bacterium
Lineage: Bacteria
Description: partial 16S ribosomal RNA
Rfam family: Bacterial small subunit ribosomal RNA
Source: RNAcentral
CCUACGGGAGGCAGCAGUGAGGAAUAUUGGUCAAUGGGCGGGAGCCUGAACCAGCCAAGCCGCGUGAGGGAAGAAGGUACAGCGUAUCGUAAACCUCUUUUGUCAGGGAACAAAGGCUGUGACUAGUCCCCGGAUGAGGUUACCUUAAGAAAAAGCAUCGGCUACCUCCGUUCCAGCGGCCGCGGUACUCCGGGGGAUGCGGGGGUUAUCCGGAUUUAUCGGGGUUAAAGGGUGCCAAGGCGGCCUGUUAAGUCAGCGGUAAAAGCCCGGGGCUAAACCCCGACGAGCAGUUGAAACUGGCGGGCUGGAGUUGGAGAGAGGUGGGCGGAAUGCGAGGUGUAGCGGUGAAAUGCGUAGAGAGCGGGAAGAAUACCGAUUGCGAAGGCAGCGUACCGGAUCCAGACUGACGCUGAGGCACGAAAGCGUGGGUAGCGAACAGGAUUAGAUACCCGAGUAGUC